AGUAUUAUGUCUGAUUAAAGUAAUAAAUUGUAAAUUUAUUUAAGAAUUAAAUAUUCUAAUACUA
Molecule: transfer RNA, 64 nt
Filed under: Eustenogaster scitula
Lineage: Eukaryota; Metazoa; Arthropoda; Insecta; Hymenoptera; Vespidae
Description: tRNA-Tyr
Source: RNAcentral